AAAUAUCCUCAUACAAUAAGUUUGAGAGAAUGCUUGGGGCCUGGUACAAAAUUCCCCUAAAAUCAAGCACCCCCACAUUUCUAGAGAGCCUAUGUGCUACCUUGUUAGACUCUCUAGAGAUGUGCCGGAAUUGAACAUUAAAAAUCUUACCACUCCUAUUGGCAAUCUCCUCUACUAUUGACAAAAUUCUCCAUGGAGUUUGGUCUUUGUGGCUAGCCAAGGAGCUAAUAACCACUAACGCAUCGAAUUCGAAGAAUAUACUCUGCCAUGAAAUGCCCUCUACAAAUCUUACCGCCUCCCUAAGAGCUUCCGCUUCUUCAGCCACCACCGCCGAUCUGCAGCAAAAUUCCUUACAUCCUGCAAAAAUCAAUGAACCUCUCGCGUCUCUACACACAAAGGCUGCUUUCCCUAUACCGUUGCUUUGGUGGAAAGAAGCGUCACAAUUUAUUUUGUAGAGUCCAUCUGGGGGGACCUCCCAUGCCGCUGCACCCUUUUGAUUUUGUGAACCUUCAUUUUGAGGUUUGGCCGGCCACAAUAACGGAUCCAGCUCGACCACUUUCUACAAGCUUGUUGCAGUUGUUAUUAUGGGCAAAUUAAAUAACAUGUGCCCGGGCUUUAUAGCUGCAGUGUGUCCAAGAGGGAAGCUUGAGAUCAAGAAAGAUGACCUUUAAUAAAAAGUCAUGUUCUUUGCAAUGCGGCAAUAAUGAAACAAGUGAGAAGCCUCUUUCCAACUGUUGCUCAAUACAAACUGUUAUUUGUUAGUAUGAUUUAUUAUAGCAUAUUGACUACUAUGUAUGAAAGAAAUUUUAUAACAUGCCACCUAAAUUCUGGUUUUUGGAUUCUUGUCCUAACAAAUAAAAUAAAAGACUCAUCCAGGUUUUCCAUUUUUGCUGCAAAUUAAAGAAGAAAUUUACUACUCUUUUGGCUGAGUACUCUGUGUGCUCUCAGUUAGUUCAUCCUUUCAUACUUUUCAUAUAUUUCCCAGUUUCAGUUUGUAG
Molecule: long non-coding RNA, 998 nt
Filed under: Ricinus communis (castor bean)
Lineage: Eukaryota; Viridiplantae; Streptophyta; Magnoliopsida; Malpighiales; Euphorbiaceae
Description: long non-coding RNA (RCOM_LNC002814)
Source: RNAcentral